GACGGAGGAUGCAAGAGUUAUCCGGACUCACUGGGCGUAAAGCGUCUGUAGGUGGUCAAAUAAGUCAACUGUUAAAUCUUGAGGCUCAACCUCAAAAUCGCAGUCGAAACUAUUAGACUAGAGUAUAGUAGGGGUAAAGGGAAUUUCCAGUGGAGCGGUGAAAUGCGUAGAGAUUGGAAAGAACACCGAUGGCGAAGGCAAUUUACUGGGCUAUUACUAACACUGAGAGACGAAAGCUAGGGUAGCAAAUGGG
Molecule: ribosomal RNA, 253 nt
Filed under: uncultured bacterium
Lineage: Bacteria
Description: partial 16S ribosomal RNA
Rfam family: Bacterial small subunit ribosomal RNA
Source: RNAcentral